RNAcentral lists this ribosomal RNA (440 nucleotides) under uncultured bacterium. RNAcentral describes it as "partial 16S ribosomal RNA". It matches the Rfam family "Bacterial small subunit ribosomal RNA", at positions 338 to 795 of the family's 1533-position model. The record is from RNAcentral.
CCUACGGGGGGCAGCAGUCGGGAAUAUUGCGCAAUGGAGGAAACUCUGACGCAGUGACGCCGCGUGCAGGAAGAAGGUUUUCGGAUUGUAAACUGCUUUAGACAGGGAAGAAAAAAGACAGUACCUGUAGAAUAAGCUCCGGCUAACUACGUGCCAGCAGCCGCGGUAAUACGUAGGGAGCAAGCGUUAUCCGGAUUUAUUGGGUGUAAAGGGUGCGUAGGCGGGCUUUUAAGUCAGCGGUAAAAAUUCGGGGCUCAACCCCGUCCGGCCGGUGAAACUGGGGGCCUUGAGUGGUCGAGAAGAAGGCGGAAUGCGUGGUGUAGCGGUGAAAUGCAUAGAUAUCACGCAGAACCCCGAUUGCGAAGGCAGCCUUCCGGCGCCCUACUGACGCUGAGGCACGAAAGUGCGGGGAUCGAACAGGAUUAGAUACCCUAGUAGUC